CACACUGAGACUGAGAUACGGACCAUACUCCUACGGGAGGCAGCCUCUAAGAAUCUUCUACAAUGGACGAAAGUCUGCUAUAGCGAGGCCGCGUGGGUGAUGAAGGCCGGAAUGUUGUAAAGCCCUUAUCUAUUCGCGGCAUAAAGUGUGGAGGCAAUGCCACACUGAUGACGGUAGGGUCGGACUAAGCCCCGGACAAUUACGUGCCAGCAGUCGGGGUAACCACGUAUGGGGCGAGCGUUGUACGACAUCAUUGGGCGUAAAGGGCGCCUAGGCGGAUAUGCAAGCUAGGUGUGAGAGACCGUAGCUCAACUGCGGGAGCGCGCUGAGAACUGCGUAUCUUGAGUUCAAAAGGGCAAGCUGGAAUGCCCGGUGUAGGGGUGAAAUCUGUCGAUAUCUGGAAGAACAUCAGUGGCGAAGGCGAACUUCUGGCUUUGAACUGACGCUGUAAGCGCGAAAGCGUGGAGAGCGAACCGGAUUAGAUACCCUGGUAGUCCCAAGCUGUAAACGAUGUGCAAUAGGUUUUAGGCCGCUGAAGGCUCAGUACCGUAGCUAACGCGAUAAGUGCACCGCCUGGGGAGUAUGCUCGCAAGUGUGAAACUCAAAGGAAUUGACGGGGGCCCGCACAAGCGGUGGAGUAUGUGGUUUAAUUCGAUGCAGCGCGAAGAACCUUACCAGGGCUUGACAUCCCUCGAAUCCUCUUGAAAGAGAGGAGUGCCUUCGGGAGCGAGGAGACAGGUGGUGCAUGGCUGUCGUCAGCUCGUGUCGUGAGAUGUUGGGUUAAGUCCCGCAACGAGCGCAACCCACGUCCUUAGUUGCCAUCAUUAAGUUGGGCACUCUGGGGAGACUGCCGGGGACAACUCGGAGGAAGGUGUGGAUGACGUCAAGUCAUCAUGCCCCUUACGUUCUGGGCUACACACGUACUACAAUGCUUCGGACAAAGGGCAGCGAGCGUGCGAGCGUGAGCUAAUCUCAUAAACCGAGGCACAGUUCAGAUUGCAGGCUGCAACUCGCCUGCAUGAAGGAGGAAUCGCUAGUAAUCGCCGGUCAGCAUACGCCGCUGAUACGUUCCCGGGCAUUGUACACACCGCCCGUCACACCAUGGAAGUUGGCCACGCCCGAAGUCGUUACUCUAACCGCUUGUGCGGAGGAGGACGCCGAAGGUGGGG
Molecule: ribosomal RNA, 1169 nt
Filed under: uncultured organism
Description: bacterial SSU rRNA
Rfam family: Bacterial small subunit ribosomal RNA
Source: RNAcentral